UCCUGUGUGGCUCAGUUGGUAGAGCAUGGUGUUUGCAACGCCAGGGUUGUGGGUUCGAUUCCCACAGGGGAU
Molecule: non-coding RNA, 72 nt
Organism: Salmo salar (Atlantic salmon)
Lineage: Eukaryota; Metazoa; Chordata; Actinopteri; Salmoniformes; Salmonidae
Source: Rfam